This 492-nucleotide ribosomal RNA is filed under the name uncultured bacterium. Its description in RNAcentral is "partial 16S ribosomal RNA". It matches the Rfam family "Bacterial small subunit ribosomal RNA", at positions 29 to 507 of the family's 1533-position model. The record is from RNAcentral.
AGUGAACGCUGGCGGUAGGCCUAACACAUGCAAGUCGAACGGCAGCACAGUAAGAGCUUGCUCUUACGGGUGGCGAGUGGCGGACGGGUGAGGAAUACAUCGGAAUCUACUUUUUCGUGGGGGAUAACGUAGGGAAACUUACGCUAAUACCGCAUACGACCUACGGGUGAAAGCAGGGGAUCUUCGGACCUUGCGCGAUUGAAUGAGCCGAUGUCGGAUUAGCUAGUUGGCGGGGUAAAGGCCCACCAAGGCGACGAUCCGUAGCUGGUCUGAGAGGAUGGUCAGCCACACUGGAACUGAGACACGGUCCAGGCUCCUACGGGAGGCAGCAGGGGGGAAUAUUGGGCAAUGGGCGGAAGCCUGAAGCAGCCACACCGCGUGGGUGAAGAAGGGCUUCGGGGUGUAAAACCCUUUUAGUGGGGAAGAAAAAGAGGAUGGUUAACCCCCCGCGGUUUGACGGGACCCAAAAAAAAAGCCACGGCUAACUUCGUG